This 275-nucleotide ribosomal RNA is filed under the name uncultured bacterium. RNAcentral's name for it is "partial 16S ribosomal RNA". It matches the Rfam family "Bacterial small subunit ribosomal RNA", at positions 338 to 625 of the family's 1533-position model. The record is from RNAcentral.
CCUACGGGUGGCUGCAGUCGAGAAUCUUCGGCAAUGAGCGCAAGCUUGACCGAGCGACGCCGCGUGCGGGAUGAAGGCCUUCGGGUUGUAAACCGCUUUGGUCCGAGAGAAAGGGCAACUUGAUCGAUCGGAGAAACAAGGACGGGCUAAGUUCGUGCCAGCAGCCGCGGUAAGACGAACCGUCCAAACGUUAUUCGGAAUCACUGGGCUUAAAGGGCGCGUAGGCGGCCGAGCGGGUCGCGGGUGAAAUCCCCCAGCUUAACUGGGGAACUGCC